This 492-nucleotide ribosomal RNA is filed under the name uncultured bacterium. RNAcentral's name for it is "partial 16S ribosomal RNA". It matches the Rfam family "Bacterial small subunit ribosomal RNA", at positions 29 to 507 of the family's 1533-position model. The record is from RNAcentral.
AGUGAACGCUGGCGGUAGGCCUAACACAUGCAAGUCGAACGGCAGCACAGUAAGAGCUUGCUCUUACGGGUGGCGAGUGGCGGACGGGUGAGGAAUACAUCGGAAUCUACUUUUUCGUGGGGGAUAACGUAGGGAAACUUACGCUAAUACCGCAUACGACCUACGGGUGAAAGCAGGGGAUCUUCGGACCUUGCGCGAUUGAAUGAGCCGAUGUCGGAUUAGCUAGUUGGCGGGGUAAAGGCCCACCAAGGCGACGAUCCGUAGCUGGUCUGAGAGGAUGAUCAGCCACACUGGAACUGAGACACGGUCCAGACUCCUACGGGAGGCAGCAGAGGGGAAUAUUGGACAAUGGGCGCAAGCCUGAUCCAGCCAUACCGCGUGGGUGAAGAAGGCCUUCGGGUUUUAAAGCCCUUUUGUUGGGAAAGAAAAGCAGCAGGUUAAUACCCCGCUGUUCUGACGGUACCCAAAGAAUAAGCACCGGCUAACUUCGUG